Small nucleolar RNA from Oryctolagus cuniculus (rabbit), 143 nucleotides. Its record names the gene SNORA70. It matches the Rfam family "Small nucleolar RNA SNORA70". Rfam says of the family: snoRNA U70 seems to be exclusive to mammals and is a member of the H/ACA class of snoRNA which contain H (ANANNA) and ACA box motifs. H/ACA box snoRNAs are involved in the conversion of uridines to pseudouridines (5-ribosyluracil) a constituent of structural RNAs (transfer, ribosomal, small nuclear, and small nucleolar). The record is from Ensembl. NCBI's taxonomy places the organism in Eukaryota, Metazoa, Chordata, Mammalia, Lagomorpha, Leporidae.
CUGCAGCCAAUUAGGCCAAGCAAACUGGAAGCCUUUUAUGGGUGGGGUGGUUUGCUGUGUAGUGGCUGCCUAAAGUGGCCUUCUCAGUAGUGGAUGCAGCCUGUUGUUUGUGUGUGUGGUCCCAAAGAAUCUUAGAGACACCU